AUGGGAUCGAUUGGCAACAGGAUACCUGAAGUUGGUAUGCGGUUCAGAAAUUCGGAUGAGGCUUGGGAGUUCUGGGUGCAAUAUGGAGGUCACAUAGGCUUUGAUGUGAGGAAAAGAAAUACCAUCAGAAGCAGAAUUGAUGGAACAAUCACUUCAUGUAGAUUUGUUUGUUGCAAUGAAGGCAUUCGAAGGAAAAGUCAAAUAGAUCACGAGCCGAAGCGCAUUAGAGCUGAAAUUUUUAAUACGACGUUUCGAUAUGCCGCCAUUUUGGAAUCUUUUGCAUCGAACUCUCCAUUUAUCUGGGAUAUUGCGAGGUUUGAAUCACCGCGCACCUCGACGCAUUGUAUGCCUAUCGAGAGGCCAUUCGGAGACCGUGUAGAAGUGCCUCGUAUUCGGCUGCGUUAUUGGAGUCUGUAUACAUUAUCUGCAGCACGUAGCGGACUGUGUACCCCGUGGGGGAUGUCAAUAUGA
RNAcentral lists this ribosomal RNA (471 nucleotides) under Triticum aestivum (bread wheat). RNAcentral describes it as "partial small subunit ribosomal RNA". The record is from RNAcentral. Lineage: Eukaryota; Viridiplantae; Streptophyta; Magnoliopsida; Poales; Poaceae.